UACGUAGGUCGCAAGCGUUGUCCGGAUUUACUGGGCGUAAAGAGCGCGCAGGCGGCUGGUCAAGUCCGAUGUGAAAUCUCCCGGCUCAACUGGGAAACUGCAUCCGAUACUGGAUGGCUUGAAUCCGGGAGAGGGAUGCAGAAUUCCAGGUGUAGCGGUGAAAUGCGUAGAUAUCUGGAGGAAUACCGGUGGCGAAGGCGGCAUCCUGGACCGGCAUUGACGCUGAUGAGCGAAAGCUAGGGGAGCAAACGGG
Molecule: ribosomal RNA, 253 nt
Filed under: uncultured bacterium
Lineage: Bacteria
Description: partial 16S ribosomal RNA
Rfam family: Bacterial small subunit ribosomal RNA
Source: RNAcentral